This 172-nucleotide unclassified non-coding RNA is filed under the name uncultured Penicillium. RNAcentral's name for it is "sequence contains ITS1". The record is from RNAcentral. Lineage: Eukaryota; Fungi; Ascomycota; Eurotiomycetes; Eurotiales; Aspergillaceae.
CUGAGUGAGGGCCCUCUGGGUCCAACCUCCCACCCGUGUUUAUUGUACCUUGUUGCUUCGGUGCGCCCGCCUCACGGCCGCCGGGGGGCUUCUGCCCCCGGGUCCGCGCGCACCGAAGACACCAUUGAACUCUGUAUGAAGAUUGCAGUCUGAGCGAAAACUAAAUAAGUUA